RNAcentral lists this ribosomal RNA (464 nucleotides) under uncultured bacterium. Its description in RNAcentral is "partial 16S ribosomal RNA". It matches the Rfam family "Bacterial small subunit ribosomal RNA", at positions 338 to 795 of the family's 1533-position model. The record is from RNAcentral.
CCUACGGGAGGCUGCAGUAGGGAAUUUUCGUCAAUGGGCGCAAGCCUGAACGAGCAAUGCCGCGUGAACGAGGAAGGUCUUCGGAUCGUAAAGUUCUGUUUAAGGGGAAAAAGAGCGGAGAGAGGAAAUGGUCUCCGAUUGAUAUUACCCUUCGAGGAAGUCACGGCUAACUACGUGCCAGCAGCCGCGGUAAUACGGAGGAUGCGAGCGUUAUCCGGAUUUAUUGGGUUUAAAGGGUGCGCAGGCGGCCUGUUAAGUCAGCGGUAAAAGCCCGGGGCUCAACCCCGGCGAGCCGUUGAAACUGGCGGGCUGGAGUUGGAGAGAAGUACGCGGAAUGCGCGGUGUAGCGGGGAAAUGCUUAGAUAUCGCGCAGAACCCCGAUUGCGAAGGCAGCGUACCGGCUCCACACUGACGCUGAGGCACGAAAGCGUGGGUAUCGAACAGGAUUAGAUACCCGAGUAGUC